Molecule: long non-coding RNA, 1659 nt
Filed under: Phasianus colchicus (ring-necked pheasant)
Lineage: Eukaryota; Metazoa; Chordata; Aves; Galliformes; Phasianidae
Description: lncRNA (ENSPCLG00000002098.1)
Source: RNAcentral
GAGCGCUGCGGCAGCCGCCGUCACUGGCGCGCUGCGUCCAUUGGGACCGGCGGAGCGCAGCGGAGCGGCGGGGUCCCGCGGCAAGGGCCGCCCGGGCGGCGCGGCGGCAUCGCACCGGCACCGCACCAGCCGCGGCUCUCCGCCCGCGCGGAUGUUCACCGGAGCUGCUGGGAACGGGAGAACUUCUGGGGGCAGGAACCGCUUUCCCGAAGGGGCUUUACGCCGCAGCGGGAAGGUUCUGCUCUGAUUCUGAACGCGAGCCGUUCCGAAAGCAGCGUGAAGUCGAGCGUUCGCUUCUCGAGUUGUAUUUACACUUUCCACCUGAUUGUUAGCGCUCGCUGCAGAGCGUUGACUCACGCGCAGAAACAAAAAAGCGAACGCGCUCAGCCCAGCGCCUCUCAAAAACGAGCGGAACAACAACGAGAAGGCGGCUCUCGCUCCGUGUCAGCUCACGGCUCGCACAGCCCGUCCCGCUGCCCGCAGGUCACCGCACGGCUCCGCGCGUCACGGCCUUCCCCGCCGCAUCCCGCGGGGCCGCGUUUCCAGGAAGCGUUACUCAGCGCCUCCGAGCGCUGCGAAGAACGCGGCGGCCGACGGCGGUGCGCGGGGCCGGCCCGGGCCGCUCCGAGCCCCGCACCCCGCCGCGCUCGGCCUGGAGCCGCGCCGCGGAGCGGCCGCCGGAGCGGAGCGGCGCGGGGCCCGCCGGGCGCGGCCGCCGGCUGCCCGCGGCCUACCGCCAGAGGUCCCUCCUUGGCCAGUUUUGCGGCGUGUUUUGCCGCACUUGAAACUUUCUGGCGGAGAAAACCCGGAGUGCUCAGGUCCGCGUUUCGCCCGGGCUCGGGCAGGAGCGCCGAGACAAAGCGGCCGCCCGCUCCGACGGCCGCGAGCCGGCAGCGCUCGAGCGGGGGAAGCGCGCUUCUCCCGCCGCCCCGCGCCGCUCUCCGCUGUUUUCUCUUCCCCCCCCUCCCCCCGGCCCGGAGCGACGGGAGCGCGCGGGAGGAGACGGACCCCCGGUCGGCGCGGGGGCGAGCGCGGUGCGCGCGAGGGUGGGAGAGGAACUGGGUGCCGAGGGUUCCUGAGGAAGUUGCACAACCAGAGAGGGACUCCGCUUGUUUACCGGGUCCUUCCCCCCCCACCACCACCACCCUCCCCCCCGAGACGGGGAUCCGGGAAAGGGCGGCUGGCUCCGAGUGGAAGGGGAAAAUUUUACCUUCUCCUCCCUCCUCCCCUCCCCCAGCGAGGAGGAGGAAGAGGAGGAGGAGGGGGGCGCGCUCUCUUUCCCGAGGGGGCUGCGGGAUUUGCUCCUCGGCCGCUCGCAGCCAAUCUCGACGCGAAGAUCGCCCGACGGAGAGGUGCCCCUUCCCGCGGAGGGCAGCGCCGCGUCGCCCCCCGCCCGCCCGCAGCCCGGCCCCGCGCUCCAACUUUUUCUCUCACGCUCUCGCGUGCGGCCGCUCCGACGAAGCGGCCACAAAAUGGGGGCGGCGGCGGCUCCCGACCCCCCGGCUCCCUCCAGCCUCGCGCUCCGGGCGGCCGCUCCCACCCAAAAUAAUAAUCACAAUAAUAAUAAUAAAAAAAAUCCCGCUCCCCCUCCCCCCGUCGCGAAAACGCCGCCUCACACGCACGUUAGCGAGAACAAGUGUGCCUAUAUCCUGUUGUUAA